Molecule: microRNA precursor, 73 nt
Filed under: Mesocricetus auratus (golden hamster)
Lineage: Eukaryota; Metazoa; Chordata; Mammalia; Rodentia; Cricetidae
Description: miRNA (ENSMAUG00000002442.1)
Source: RNAcentral
UGUACGUGUGUGCACAUGUGCAUGUGUGAGCAUGCACAAGCAUGCUUGCAUGCACACACACAAACACAAACUU